GACGAACGCUGGCGGCGUGCCUAAUACAUGCAAGUCGAACGAGAGCGACCGGUGCUUGCACUGGUCAAUCUAGUGGCGAACGGGUGAGUAACACGUGGGUAACCUGCCCAUCAGAGGGGGAUAACAUUCGGAAACGGAUGCUAAAACCGCAUAGGUCCUUUAACCGCAUGGUUGAAGGAGGAAAAGAGGCGCAAGCUUCUGCUGAUGGAUGGACCCGCGGUGCAUUAGCUAGUUGGUGAGGUAACGGCUCACCAAGGCCGUGAUGCAUAGCCGACCUGAGAGGGUGAUCGGCCACAUUGGGACUGAGACACGGCCCAAACUCCUACGGGAGGCAGCAGUAGGGAAUCUUCCGCAAUGGACGCAAGUCUGACGGAGCAACGCCGCGUGAGUGAAGAAGGUUUUCGGAUCGUAAAACUCUGUUGUUAGAGAAGAACAAGUGCUAGAGUAACUGUUAGCGC
RNAcentral lists this ribosomal RNA (458 nucleotides) under Granulicatella adiacens. Its description in RNAcentral is "bacterial SSU rRNA". It matches the Rfam family "Bacterial small subunit ribosomal RNA", at positions 28 to 475 of the family's 1533-position model. The record is from RNAcentral. Lineage: Bacteria; Bacillati; Bacillota; Bacilli; Lactobacillales; Carnobacteriaceae.